AGCUUAGGACCGCAUUUACCAAAUCAUGAAGAGGAAGUGAAUCGAAAAUUCUAAUCAUCUCUUUAAUCGUUUGCAAUCAUCACUUUUAAUUUUAAUUGUUUUAUAAACCAACUUUGCUUAGCAAAUCCCCUGCAUUUACAUUCCUAAAUACGAUACAAUUGUUUUGUCGAGAUUGGAACAAUCCCUGCGGAUACGAACUUUAUAAAUUUUAUUACUUAACGAUAAGUUAGUACACUUGCUAAUUUUGUCAUCAAGUUUUUGGCGCCGUUGCCGGGG
RNAcentral lists this long non-coding RNA (276 nucleotides) under Trifolium pratense (red clover). RNAcentral's name for it is "long non-coding RNA (TPRA_LNC011612)". Lineage: Eukaryota; Viridiplantae; Streptophyta; Magnoliopsida; Fabales; Fabaceae. The record is from RNAcentral.